Molecule: ribosomal RNA, 504 nt
Filed under: Jitlada philippinarum
Lineage: Eukaryota; Metazoa; Mollusca; Bivalvia; Cardiida; Tellinidae
Description: Moerella philippinarum partial 16S ribosomal RNA
Rfam family: Bacterial large subunit ribosomal RNA
Source: RNAcentral
CUGUUUUAAUCAAAAACAUGGCUUCUUGUUUUGUUAAGGAUAAGAGGUCUGGCCUGCCCGGUGGGUUUAUCCUAAACGGUCGCAGCUGCCACUGUGCGAAGGUAGCGUAAUAGGUCGUCCUUUAAUUGAGGGAAAGUAUGAAUGGUCGGAUGUUGGAAAAACUUUAUUGAAAAUGAAAGGUUGAAUUUUACUUUUUAGUGCAAAGGCUAAAAUAAGUUUAUUAGACGAGAAGACCCUGUUGAGCUUGGUUAAUUUUGUGUCUUUUUGGUAUGAAGUAAUGUUUUUUCGGGGCUGAAAGGAAGGGAUUAUAAUGCCUUCUAUGUUUAUAUUGAUCCAACAUGGUUGAUAAGUAGAAGAUAGCUACCACAGGGAUAACAGCGCAAUCUUCCUAAUAAGGCCAUAUUUAAGGGAUGGUUUGCGACCUCGAUGUUGAAUCAGGAUUUCUAUUAGGUGUAGCAGCUUAGUAAGUAGGACUGUUCGUCCUUUAAAAUCCUACGUGAUCUG